Molecule: ribosomal RNA, 403 nt
Filed under: uncultured soil bacterium
Lineage: Bacteria
Description: bacterial SSU rRNA
Rfam family: Bacterial small subunit ribosomal RNA
Source: RNAcentral
AGAUUGAACGCUGGCGGCAGGCCUAACACAUGCAAGUCGAGCGGUAGAGAGGUGCUUGCAUCUCUUGAGAGCGGCGGACGGGUGAGUAAUGCCUAGGAAUCUGCCUAGGUGGGUGGGGGAUAACGGUUCGGAAACGGCGCUAAUACCGCAUACGUCCUACGGGAGAAAGGCGGGGGACCUUCGGGCCUCGCGCCAUUAGAUGAGCCUAGGUCGAUUAGCUAGUUGGUGAGGUAAUGGCUCACCAAGGCGACGAUCCGUAACUGGUCUGAGAGGAUGAUCAGUCACACGUGGAACUGAGACACGGUCAGACUCCGUACGGGAGCAGCAGGUGGGAAUAGUGGACAGUGGGACAAGCUGAUCCAGCCAUCGCCGUACGGUGUGUAGAAGGAAGGUUCGUUACGGA